AAAACCCUUAUUAUACAAAAAGGAUAUAAUUGAAGCUGCUAACUUUAAUUAGGGGGUGUAAAUCCUCCCCUUUUUUUUGC
Molecule: transfer RNA, 80 nt
Filed under: Plakobranchus ocellatus
Lineage: Eukaryota; Metazoa; Mollusca; Gastropoda; Plakobranchidae
Description: tRNA-Ser
Source: RNAcentral